AAAAGAAAAAAAAGUGCGUGGAAAAAUUUUCUUUGUAAAUUGAAAGAGGAACGGAGCUUGAGUUCUUUGUGCUGGGGGUCUGACCCGGAGUUCCCAAAGGAGCGUUGGAUUCAUUCCUUAUGGAUCCUUAUACUUCGAUUAAGGAAAAUGAACGGCAGGCCAACUCUAAGAGAUGGGUUUUUUGCAUUUCCCUCCCAUCUUUCGUGUAAGUCGAAGCAGGCUAAACUCCAGAGUGGAUGCCCAUCGGAAGAAUAUAAGUAAAAACCGAAGUAAAUAAAGUAACAAAAUGUUAUUUUUGGUGGUUUUUUUUAAUAAACUUUUAUGAAAAUCCUUACUAUUUAAAAUAAAUUUGAAACCAAA
Molecule: long non-coding RNA, 360 nt
Organism: Uranotaenia lowii
Lineage: Eukaryota; Metazoa; Arthropoda; Insecta; Diptera; Culicidae
Exons: 2
Source: RefSeq, a predicted model, not a curated record